This 453-nucleotide ribosomal RNA is filed under the name uncultured bacterium. RNAcentral describes it as "bacterial SSU rRNA". It matches the Rfam family "Bacterial small subunit ribosomal RNA", at positions 340 to 786 of the family's 1533-position model. The record is from RNAcentral.
UACGGGAGGCAGCAGGGGGAAUAUUGCACAAUGGGCGAAAGCCUGAUGCAGCUAUGCCGCGUGUAUGAAGAAGGCCUUAGGGUUGUAAAGUACUUUCAUCGGGGAGGAAAAACAAAACUAAUAAUUUUAUUUCUUGACGUUACCCGAAAAAGAAGCACCGGCUAACUCCGUGCCAGCAGCCGCGGUAAUACGGAGGGUGCUAGCGUUAAUCAGAAUUACUGGGCGUAAAGAGCACGUAGGUGGUUUUUUUAAGUCAGAUGUGAAAUCCCUGGGCUUAACCUGGAACUGCAUUUUGAAACUGAAAUACUAGAGUAUCGUAGAGGGAGGUAGAAUUCUAGGUGUAGCGGUGAAAUGCGUAGAUAUCUGGAGGAAUACCUGUGGCGAAAGCGGCCUCCUAAACGAAUACUGACACUGAGGUGCGAAAGCGUGGGGAGCAAACGAGGAUUAGAUACC